This 434-nucleotide ribosomal RNA is filed under the name uncultured bacterium. Its description in RNAcentral is "partial 16S ribosomal RNA". It matches the Rfam family "Bacterial small subunit ribosomal RNA", at positions 29 to 507 of the family's 1533-position model. The record is from RNAcentral.
AGCGAACGCUGGCGGCAGGCCUAACACAUGCAAGUCGAACGAACCUUUCGGGGUUAGUGGCGGACGGGUGAGUAACACGUGGGAACGUGCCUUUAGGUUCGGAAUAACUCAGGGAAACUUGUGCUAAUACCGAAUGUGCCCUUCGGGGGAAAGAUUAAUCGCCUUUAGAGCGGCCCGCGUCUGAUUAGCUAGUUGGUUGAGGUAAUGGCUCACCAAGGCGACGAUCAGUAGCUGGUCUGAGAGGAUGAUCAGCCACAUUGGGACUGAGACACGGCCCAAACUCCUUCGGGAGGCAGCAGUGGGGAAUCUUGCGCAAUGGGCGAAAGCCUGACGCAGCCAUGCCGCGUGAAUGAUGAAGGUCUUAGGAUUGUAAAAUUCUUUCACCGGGGACGAUAAUGACGGUACCCGGAGAAGAAGCCCCGGCUAACUUCGUG